AGCGCAGACGGUUAUUUAAGUCUGAAGUGAAGGCCCUCAGCUCAACUGAGGAAUGGCUUUGGAAACUGGAUGACUUGAGUGCAGUAGAGGAAAGUGGAACUCCAUGUGUAGCGGUGAAAUGCGUAGAUAUAUGGAAGAACACCAGUGGCGAAGGCGGCUUUCUGGACUGUAACUGACGUUGAGGCUCGAAAGUGUGGUAGCAAACA
RNAcentral lists this ribosomal RNA (206 nucleotides) under uncultured bacterium. RNAcentral's name for it is "partial 16S ribosomal RNA". It matches the Rfam family "Bacterial small subunit ribosomal RNA", at positions 568 to 774 of the family's 1533-position model. The record is from RNAcentral.